RNAcentral lists this ribosomal RNA (253 nucleotides) under uncultured bacterium. RNAcentral describes it as "partial 16S ribosomal RNA". It matches the Rfam family "Bacterial small subunit ribosomal RNA", at positions 524 to 776 of the family's 1533-position model. The record is from RNAcentral.
UACAGAGGGGGCAAGCGUUAUUCGGAAUUAUUGGGCGUAAAGGGCGCGUAGGCGGCUUGGCAAGUGGAAGGUGAAAUCCCUCGGCUUAACCGAGGAACUGCCUUCCAGACUGCUUUGCUUGAGGCCGGGAGAGGCGAGUGGAAUUCCCAGUGUAGCGUUGAAAUGCGUAGAUAUUGGGAGGAACACCAGUGGCGAAGGCGGCUCGCUGGACCGGUUCUGACGCUGAGGCGCGAAAGCGUGGGGAGCAAACGGG